This 457-nucleotide ribosomal RNA is filed under the name uncultured bacterium. Its description in RNAcentral is "bacterial SSU rRNA". It matches the Rfam family "Bacterial small subunit ribosomal RNA", at positions 340 to 786 of the family's 1533-position model. The record is from RNAcentral.
UACGGGAGGCAGCAGUGGGGAAUAUUGCACAAUGGGCGAAAGCCUGAUGCAGCUAUGCCGCGUGUAUGAAGAAGGCCUUAGGGUUGUAAAGUACUUUCAUCGGGGAGGAAAAACAAAACUAAUAAUUUUAUUUCUUGACGUUACCCGAAAAAGAAGCACCGGCUAACUCCGUGCCAGCAGCCGCGGUAAUACGGAGGGUGCUAGCGUUAAUCAGAAUUACUGGGCGUAAAGAGCACGUAGGUGGUUUUUUUAAGUCAAGAUGUGAAAUCCCUGGGCUUAACCUGGAACUGCAUUUUGAAACUGAAAUACUAGAGUAUCGUAGAGGGAGGUAGAAUUCUAGGUGUAGCGGUGAAAUGCGUAGAUAUCUGGAGGAAUACCUGUGGCGAAAGCGGCCUCCUAAACGAAUACUGACACUGAGGUGCGGAAAGCGUGGGGAGCGAAACAGGGAUUAGAUACC